RNAcentral lists this long non-coding RNA (206 nucleotides) under Linum usitatissimum (flax). RNAcentral's name for it is "long non-coding RNA (LUSI_LNC002111)". The record is from RNAcentral. Lineage: Eukaryota; Viridiplantae; Streptophyta; Magnoliopsida; Malpighiales; Linaceae.
CAAAGGUUUCGAACAAUGAACUAGAAGAAGACAUUACCUUUGCACACGAUAGGAGAGCGAAUAAGCUACACAGAAAGAAGUCAGUUAAAACAGACUGUCUUUUAUUAGUCAUACCAAUCUAUGCAUCAAACGAUAUCUACAAGAAGACGGACACAAUCGAGCACGCUAGACCAAUUAGAAAGCUAGUUAUUCAGCAACUGUUCUUC